AUAAUUUAAUUUGCCGAUCCACCAUGAAAUGAUAUAACCCAUUUGUUGUUCUCCGGAAAUGACUGAUGUGUUCUGAUACGGAAGAAUCAAAAUAGGAUACAUCCCUAACGCUAUUUCUUUUUUUUACGCUAUUUCUUUUUUUUCCGUAUAAAGUCUAAGGAAAUGAUUAAAUUAAAGUAAAUAAAUAAAAAAGAGUCUUUUUUAUUUUCAUUGAUUCGUUUUUCAAUCGAUUUAGCAAUAACGAACGGAUUACUCGUAAUCCGUGUCAAUCUCAAUAAAAUGCAUAUCUAUAUAAUAUCUAUUAUCUAUAUAAUAUCUAAAUGGAUAUCAAUAUAUAAAUAAGAUAUAGAUAUGAAUAUAUAAAUAAGUCCGCCUCUGUCAUUUACAGCACAACGGUUCGAAUCUAAAAUAGAAAAGGAAAUGGUUGAA
RNAcentral lists this transfer RNA (429 nucleotides) under Indigofera bungeana. RNAcentral's name for it is "partial tRNA-Tyr". Lineage: Eukaryota; Viridiplantae; Streptophyta; Magnoliopsida; Fabales; Fabaceae. The record is from RNAcentral.